This 8835-nucleotide long non-coding RNA is filed under the name Homo sapiens (human). Its description in RNAcentral is "HSALNT0306119". The record is from RNAcentral. Lineage: Eukaryota; Metazoa; Chordata; Mammalia; Primates; Hominidae.
CACCUUGGCCUCCCAAAGUGCUGGGAUUAGGGGUGUGAGCCACCAUGCCUGGACUUCAUUGUGAAUUUUUUAAAGGCCUUUCUAAACAUCACAUAAGAUAGAGAAAUGAAGGAGUCCUAAAAAGAGGGAGAUCUUAAUCCAGCUUUUAAUUGCUUCUGAAUCUUAAGUCCAAAGGCCAUUUUGCAAAAUAGCCACAUCGUCCUUAAGUUUAUAUGUAUUUUAAAAUGUAGUUUUAAUUCAGUGACAAAGCUAUUAAUGAAAUAAACAUGCAUUUUAUCCAAAUGAACACUCCUUUAAAUACUUUUCCAAAGUGCAUUUGAGGAAACGGUGAGGCUAAUGCACAGGCAAUGAAUAUAAUAUAACAUGAUAAAUGCGGUAUCUGUUAAAUAGCAAUGUAAUGCCAGACCAGGUUCAAAUUCAAUAAAACUUAACUCUAAUAUACAAAGCUUUUUGUGAGCACUUAUUAGUUAAAAUGAAUUCUUUUAUUACCCUAGUAAAUUGCCAAAUUGUUAGAAUAAAGCCACCCAAAUAACAUUCAAAUUUAAAUUGAACAAUUGAACAGAAUGAGAUGUCAUAAUAUAAAAACAGAAUUAAUAUAUAUUUAAAAUGCAUUAUGUAUUUUUCUCAUAUGAGUCAUAUUAUUAUGAAUCUUUGGAAAAUAUUUGUAAUUACCUCAAGUAUUUGUUUCAUUCCCUGCUUGAAGAUCAGUCAAGUGAUCAAUUAAUGGAUCAUUCUCAAUCACACACCGCGUCUUUUUCCCAUCUUAGCAUCAUAAGCUAUAGAGCAAUGUUGGCACCCAGAUCUGCCAAAUGUAUUCAGUAAUAGUGAUUUCCUACCUGAUUUGCUGUCUUUUACACUGAGCAGUGAUACUUAUCAGCUGAGUGCUACAGUCUAUUUCCAGUCAUUACUUUAUGUUUAUUCCAGUAUCUUUCCUUCUUUUUUUCAUCUGCAACUGCCUGUGAACUCAUAACAUCACCAAAGAUUGGAAUAAAGUUAGUGGAAAGGGGGUUAAGAAGUAGACUGAAAGCAGCUCACUCUUUAAUAUGAAAAACUUCAAGUAUGUGAUUUUGGUUUUCUGGAUCUAUGUUUAACUCAUUAUACUUGGAAGCACUAAAUGAAAUAACAUGUGAGAAACUGUUCUUAACAAGCAUCUGUCAAAUGACUAGAUGAGUGGAUGUAUCAAUGAAUGCUAUUGCUGCUAACCACAACACUCAAAACAAAAUGUGUGAUGCUGUUUAAUUUGCUUCAGCUGUGAAUGAUGUUUUUUGGUUUUCUCAAAAAAAGUUAACCUUGAAGCAACUUGUCUCUGUAGGCUCUUUUUUUUUUUUCCUAUAUUUUAAGUAUUUUUUUUUUUUUUUUAGGUUUUGGAAGUUCAUAUUAAAAGGUUCAAAUGGCUUUUCCUUUGCAGAUUCCUCACUUCCUUUUGAUCUGAAUGUACCUAUUGAUUUAUAAUUUUCUCUCUUCAAAGAAAUUUCCAAGUUGUUGCUUCAGGCCUCAGACAAGUUGCUGUAGGCAGAGACUGUUAGAAACGCAUGACCUGGCAGGAAGCUGCAUUCUGAGCAGGGUUCAGAGUUGGAACAGAGGAAACUUAAGACAACUUUCAGACAGGCCAAGUAGGACAGGGUCCAAAUCAUCUAGAAUGUCAACAAAGAGAGAAAAGCAGGUUUGCUUUUUUCUAAAUCAGAAUAAGAUUAGAAAGAUGCAGAAUAAUGGGAUGGGUUCAGAUGUACAUGGAGAGGGCUGAUAAGUUUUGUCUUGUUUUGUUUUAUUUAGAGAAACAGCUAGAAGCUCCAACAAGCUUGAAUAGAAAAAAAGAUAAAGAUGUUUUAUUAUUGUAAUGAUAUGAUUAUGAUUUUUGCUUUAUACUAAUUUUUUCCAGGCAUUCGUUCACCAAAAGCUUCAUUGAGAUCAAUGAUAUUGGACUAGAAUGACCCAAGUUUGGUUCUGAAAUCACACUCUCUUUGUAAUAGAAACCAAACAAAGUGUACAGGUAGAGUGUUUCAGAGGUAUUAUUCCUGCUUGACUCAAAAUGAACAUUAAAGUUAGCAAUUUUGCCGGGCGUGGUGACUCAUACCUGUAAUCCCAGCCCUUUGGGAAGCCAAGGUGGGAAGAUCACUUGAGCCCAGGAGUUCGACACCAGCCUGGGCAAUAUAGUGAGACCCUAUCUCUUCAAACAAAAGUCAAAAAAUCAGCCUGAUGUGGGGGUAUGUGCCUGUUGUUCCAGCUACUCAGGAGGCCAAGGUGAGAGGAUCACUAGAGCCAGGGAAGUCAAGGCUGCAGUGAGCCCUGAUUGUGCCACUGCACUCCAGUCCAGGUGACAGAGCAAGACCCUAUCUCAAAAUAAAUAUAUUAAUAAAGUUAGCAAUUUCUGUGGUUUCUUCAUUUAUAAGAAAACAGCCGGCCAGUUGUGGUGGCUCACACCUGUAAUCCCAGCGCUUUGGGAGGCUGAGGCAGCCGGAUCACCUGAGGCCAGGAGUUUGAGACCAGCCUGACCAACAUGGUGAAACCCCAACUCUACUAAAAAUACAAAAAUUAGCUGGGCAUUGUGGUGGGUGCCUAUAAUCCCAGCUACUCAGGAGGCUGAGGCAGGAGAAUCACUUGAACCUGGGAGGCAGAGGUUGUAGUGAGCCAAGAUCGCGUCAUUGCACUCCAGCCUGGGUGACAAGAGUGAAACUCCGUCUCAGAAACUAACAAACAAACAAACAAAAAUAGCCUACCUCAGUGCAGAAACAAACAAAAACCUAGUAAUUGUUUCAAAGACUGUGGUUGCUAAAAUAGCAUUAUGAAAAUGUGACAAGUUUACCUUUUUGUAUGGGAAUAUAGGGCUAACUAGGGACUAUUUGUUGAUAGUCAAAGUCAAGGGACUGGAAUUCAGAUAGAACACCAUAUCUUGCCUUUAGCAAUGGGGAUUUCAGCUAGAAUUAUAUAUGGACCCCUCAACCAAUGCAGGUAAAGUGUACAUCUCUUUCAGGUAGGACACAGCAUAAUAAAAGAUGAGGUUCACAAAGCUCUCUAUAACCUUGCAAAAGCCAACUAGCACUUUUUAACACUUCUAACAUCACUCUGUCACCAGAGAACAGUGUUUCUGCAUUCAGCACAGAAGCUAUAAAGGGCAUUAGAAACACUCCUUAAAAUGUUCAACAGCCACAGCAGCAAAAUUGUAGUGCUCAAGUCCUGUAAUUUGGAGAAUGGGUCUUUUUAUACCUUAGCAAGCAUUAUACUUUAUUUCACUUUUGAGAGUCACGGAUGCUAGUGUUUUAAUGAAAAAUUCUUUUGCAAAAGUGACAAUAUGUAUAUAUAUUUUUUUCAGAGGAAUGACUCUUUUUUUAGUGCUAGAACUCUAGCAUAAAUAUGAUACUUGGUGAGAAAUACAUCAUUUAAAGUAAUGACAGAGAAAUUUAGGAGGGAUAAAGAAGAAAAUAAACCAUUUAAGUAGCAAAGUUUUAAGUUGCAAUUUAAGGUGAUCAGCUCACCAAACAUGCUCAAAGAAGGCCACUGCUCUGCAUAUGUUUUUGUCACUUGCAAAAGCUAAAAAAAUAAAUAAAUCUGCUAAAGCCAACAGCUUUGGCGGCCUGCAAUCUUUCUAUAGCAUGCUGUGCUCAGUUAUGUUCAGUGACUAAAAGCAAUAACGUGUUGAUUCUAGACUAAUAUGUCUAGCUCUGCAAUUGAUUGUAAGCCACUUUAUGAGACACUCUGAAAUCUUUCCUGUGUCUACUAGUCUUGAUGAGCUCCUUAGCAAAAUAAAUUAGCAAUUUUGAACCUUUUUUUCCAUACUUGCCUACUGCCAAGACUUUCUAAAUAAACCCUCUGUAUUUUCUCCCCCAGCAUGAUCCACAGGGGGGGGUCGCAAUUCAGAGUUGCUCCUGUUUAAUUUGGGUUUAGGUGUUGAGGUGCUCAUGCAGUUCUCAGCAAUAUCUUCUCAUUUGUACUUGCUUGACCUGAUUUGAUUCCACUUUUAUUUUUCUAAAGCUCAGAGGUAUGAUAUAAAUGUCAGUAAAAAUUAAUCUCUUGCCCAGCACUAACCCAAAAGGACCUUCUCUAUUUUAAUAGUCCAGAAAGCAAUUUUCUCUCAGCAACUAAUUUUUAACUAUUUAUUAACUACAUAUUAAUAUGAUUCUGUACCAAGACAGCCCUUUUUAAUUUGAGUUGCUGAAAAAGUCAAAUGUGAUGGGUAAUACUAGUUUACCUGCAUGAUUGCUAUUAUGUCAAAUAACUGCUCUUUAUACUUGAAAAUAUGUUUUUCCUCUUAAUGCACUUCAAGUUGACCAGUGGUGCUAAAUUGACUGAUUCAGUGGCAGAACUCCAGUGUUUUCCAAAUAUCAGGUGCCACACUUAGUGGCAGCAUCAGUUCUUGCCACCUUGGCUUGCCAAUAUAACUCAAUGCAUCUUUAAUGGAAACAACAGUUAAAGCUGAUUCAAUCUAGGGCUGUUCUUCUGAGACUGUCAAUAAAGGAAUCUGCUGGUGCUAAAUGUCACCUUGGUUUAGGAAUAAAGACAGAUUUUUCUCUCUGAAAGGAAAAGCAGAUCAACGCACUUACCCCAGUCAUGGGACAUUUGUUCAGUUUGAUUUUCUUCUGACCUAUCUGUAUAUCAUUAAUUAAUAAGCAAAAGAAUACAGUCUACUGCUGCUAUUGAGAAUGAUACUUUAAAUUUUGGAAUAAGUAAAGAUUUCAAGGACAAGAUACAAUCAUUACUAAUGUUAAAACAAUAGUGUAAAUGAUCUUAUCUUGCUCCUUCUAUGAGACAGAGUAAUUUUAGCCACAUUAAACAACUAUCCAAGUGUAGCUGAGAGUAGAGAAGAUGAAAAUAAGACAAAUAAAUGAGGAUGAAGGAGGAUACACUGACAUUUGUAGCCCUCCCAGGGCUUUGCAUAGAGAAUGGCCACUGUGGCCAUGGCUAAAAUGUUGCAAAGGAGUUGGUCUGUGCAAUUAUCAGAUCUUGCAAGUCACAAAUCCAGCUAUGCAUUUUUUUCUGGACAGGAGGCAGGGCUUGCCAGAGGAGAGAAAGACUCUUUGCACACAGCUGGAGCUUUUCAGGGUGAAAGCAGAAACAUGCUCCAUUGACAGCAAACUUAUAAACUGUCAUGGGGUAGUUUUCUCUCUCUUUCCUCCCUCGACCUCAGACUGAUUGGCAUUUUUUUCAUGACCUACCUGGCUAUUCUUUCCCCUUGCCUCACUGCCGUUGGCAAUAGCUUAAACCAUGUUUGUUAGGUAUAAGAUCCUCAAUCUAAUGUGCUCAGCAUUGUUCAUGGCACUAAAUAUACAUUUUAAAAAGGAUGCUUUUGUUUCUCUACCUCCAAACUCAUAAAGUCCCCUGGUCCUGGGUUUUGGAAUCCAUCUAGGAAUGACCCUACAUGCCUGUAAUAUUUAAAAAACAAGUGAAGAUUUUAUUGGUACUCUCAGGUACUUAAUGGCAUUUAUUGAAAUAUUUUUUGUUCGUCUUCAUAGUGAGGGCCAAAACAUCUGUAUCAACAGUAUGAAUCAUGGACAUAUGAUGUCCAAAAUGCUAUCAUUAUGUUUUACGUACUACAGCAAUGGUAUGAAAGGUUGAGAAAUAAAAUAAAGAACAUCCCGUUAAGCAUUUAAAACGUUAGUCUGUGUACACUUAAUUUCUAGUAAAGGAACAGAAGACUGGAGUGUGAUAAGAACUGAAGAAAUAUUUCACAUCCUGUCAAUUAGUUCUAGGAACAGGAAUUCAAUAAUUUGCCUACCUUCGUCAGAAGAAAGUGAGGAUAAAAGCAAAAACCAAAAACCAAAAGUUAAAAGGUUAAUCUUGUCAAUGACUGAAGAGCAAAUAUUUCUAUUAUAAUGAAAAUUCUAAAAAUAAGUACUGGGUAUUUUGCCUGGGGUUUUAAAGAAAUCAAAGCAAAUUUAAUGCAAGUUUCAAAGUGAGUGUAAUAAUAAACAGAAAUUCUGACUUUCCCCCCCACCAAGAUUUUCUUGAGUUUUUAUGAGCAGUCUUGUCAGUGAGAAAAAUAGACUUGCUGAAUAUUACCUCAGACAGGCAUUACUAUCAUCUCUAAUAUUAAAUCUAGUGAUACAAGGUGUAAUUGGAAGAGUUGUAUAGUUUUGAAGUCAGUUUAGAAGGAGCACUUUCAACAGUUAACAAUCUCAAUGCAAUCCCAUCUAUUUAUUGCUGUUUCUUGGCAUGUUAUUCAAUAACUUUUAGUUUUAGUUUCUUGAAAGUUCAUUUAGCCUUACUGGUUAGUUACUAUUUAUAUCAAGACCAAGACAGAAUUGCAAUGUAAUAGGAAGCUCAGGUAGGUCAGUAAAUAUGUAAUAGGGUUCCAACUCAACAACUAGCUGAUUAUUAAGUUUUAGAUAAGUCAUUUUGCUUCUAUAAGCUUCAUUUUGCCCACUCAUAAAAGGUUAAUGAGAACUAUAACAAUAUUUGUCAAGCAUUUUUAUUAAUAAAUCUCUAAUGGUGUAGGAGACUCAAAAUGAUUUUGGAGGGGAGGAGAAGGGUAAAGACUAGACAUAAAUAGAUAGAAUGUAUCCACCAACAAUGCAUUGGAUAAAGAAAAUGUGGUACAUAUACCCCAUGGAAUACUACACAGCUGUAAAAAAUGAAGCCAUGUCUUUUGUAGCCACAUGGAUGCACCUGGAGAUGAUUAUAAAAUAAUUAACACAGGAACAGAAAACCAAAUACUGCAUAUUUUCACUUAUGCAAAGGAUAACAAUUUUCACUUAUGCAAAGAGGGUAACCAUAGAUACUGGGGACUACUAGAGUUGGGGAAAGGUUGAGAAAUUAACCAUUGAGUAAUAUGCUCACUACCUAGGUGAUGGGAUCAAUCAUACCCCAAUCCUCAGCAUCAUGAAAUAUACCCAUGCAACAAACCUGGACAUGUAUCCUUGCAUCUAAAAUAAAAGUUGAAAUUGUUUUAAAAGGUAUUCAUUAAAGAAGCAUAAAGAGAGAGAUCAAUAAAUAUGCUUUGAUAUCUUCAAACAAAAUUUACAUUUUUCUCCAUUCACAAUAUGUUGGUGUAUAAAAACAAUGUUUGGCAUUACCUCUAUUAAAAGGAAUUGUCAUCUAUCUGUGCUGAACAGGUCAAUUUUAGCAAACCCUGCUGGAUUAAAGAAAGCUGUUACUGAAGACUAGAGUGAAGGUCUAGAUAAUUUCUCUGCUUCUUUUUAUAGUUCUUCUAGAACUUUGGUUUACAUAAAUACAUGGAUGUAAGUGGCAACAAUGUAUCUUUUAAAACUUUGUAACAUAUGUCACUGAGUAGAGAUGACCUGAAUAUAUGGUAAAAUGAAUGGUAUAACAUUUUCAAUAUUACUUUUGCUGGCAAUUUUAAGUAGUUUAUUACUAAGAAAUGAGGUUGCUGCUAUCCUCAUAUAGUAGACAGAAAAUGUCUCUAAUCCAUCAUCUUGCACCUUUUACAGCUUCAGGAAGUAUUUCAUCAGAAGACUCUUCAGUAUGAAGAGAUGACUAACUUUAUGUUUUUCCUUAUUUUAACAUCGUCAUUAAUUCUAAUCACAUGUAAAUAAUAGUGUGAUAUGAUUCAUAAAAUCCGUGACCUCUUCACCCAGCUCUCAAGCUGCAUUUUCAUUACAGUCUUUUCAUCAUCAGAAUUUUGGCUUCAAGUUGUUGAUUUAGUUGUGAUUGUCUUGAAAAGAAAGGUCUACUAAAUGAGUCAACUUUUAUCACGAACUAUAAAUGUAUUUAUUUAUCCAACUUUUAAAUACAAACAAUCCUUUCCCACUAGGAAAGUACUAAAUCAACCAUGAGUUGGAAGAGUAUUUCCAAUGCAUUUCUACUGGUUGGUAAUGCAUAUCUGUGAACUUAAUACUUUAAUUAUUGCAUUAAGAUCAUUGAAAGAUAAUCAAGAGGAUGUUCUUUUUGACACUUUCCUUCUAGGAGGAUGCUUUGGUUGUUCAAUCAUUCAAGGUAUGCACUGGCUGCCAUUCAUAGAAUUUCCCUCUGAUAAAACUGUAACAAACCUAUUCAAUAAUACAUAUGGCAUUGAGAUAUACCCAAUAGUCACUCAUCCUUCACAAGCAAAGGGGAUGCUGAAACUGACUAUAAACAAACCUUCAUGGGGACACGGAUGGAAGAUAAUAAGUGUAGCUUCUUCCUCUGGGCAAGCGCUCAUUAUCAAGUGCCUCUGGGCAAGGCACUACAUCUGAACACAGCCAGAUAUAGAUGGUCUGUGACAGAAGAAACCUGAUGGUCUUACUGAACUCACCCCAGUGUGAAAAUGAGAAACAAGGCAGGAAGGAUGUUGUAAGGGAGAUAAUGCAGCAUGAUAAGGUUUCAACACAAGUCUGAGGACGUCUCUCAGGUGAGAUUGUAUGUAUACUGUUUGUCCUUGUGCAUAUAUGCUGGGGGUUGAGGAUAAGAAGGGUCAUUACUUGCGUGACUAUAGUGUUUUUCUUUAAGUUCUCUUCUCUAGAAAUUCAGCUAAUGGGACAUAUAUAGAGAAAAAUAUUUAAAAGUUAGUAAAUGGAUUUAUUUGUAACUGAGAUAGGCUUCACAGGAAUUUAGUUACCAGGUCACAUCCCAAUCUCUCUUUCUAUAUGAGGUUUGAAAAUGUGAACUGCUAUGCAUAGCUUGGGCAUUAGCCCCAAAUUGCUAUGACAAUUAAUGAACCAGCUACGUGUACUGACAUCUUAGGUGCAAGUUGUAAAGCAAAUUAUCUGUGUAUUCUGCUUGGCUAAAUGUAUAUUUGUAGCCCUUUCAUGCAAUAGAAUUCAUGUUGUUGUGUAUAAGAGAAGAACAAAACCGAUAAUAGGAGAAAAUUGCCUUUCUGGAUAGAAAUAUAGAAUAGCCAUGCUUAUGAUUAUCACAAAUAAAGAAUUCAAUUCUUUACAUGAUUGAGUGAGAGUAUGUAUAACC